UUGGUAUUCUUUUCUCAUCCAAGGUGGCUGAUAGCGUUAGGCGGCUAAGCAGUGCAGAGCGGUUUGAUUUCUUCAGGAAAGCCGCUCAUUUUAGUAUUGCCCUUUAGAGAGUGGAUUGUGCCACACUCCUGCAGUGUUGUUGUAGCCUUGUCAUUUUACAAAUGUUUACGGACUGGCCUUGACUGACUCCUGGUUUUAUGUGGCGGUACAGCCGCUCGCGCCGCCGCCCCCCCCCCCCCGAGUGCGUACACACGGGGAAUAGGUAGAUUGCAGUGUGAGUGACAGUGAGGUUUGCAAUGGAACUACAUGGGAUCCAGAAGAUCUGGACCACUCCAUGUGUCUAUAUGUCUGCUCUUCUCUUCCUCCCAAGCACUGACAUUUUGUGGCGUUUUCAUGAGAAGCAUGAAAUGAAUUGAAAUUGCAAACAAUCACUUGUGAAACAAGAAAUAAUGAAGGCAAAACUGUGUUUUUAAUACAGUGAUCUUUAAUUGAAAAUGUAUUUGGUUUGGAAGUCAGAUAAAAAAACAUAUACACAACAUUUUCAUGUCAUUUACAAGUCUGAGACUCUCUUCUAGCUUAUUACCUUUGCAUAAGUCAUGUAUUCUGCCAAGUAAGAAUGUUUUGUUUAUUUCAUGUUGUUCUCACUGAUAAGUACAAACUUCGUAGUAGAUUUUUUUUUAGUCAAACUAGGCAUUUAGAAAAGGACAGUUAUUGACAGAGAUGCGAUGCCAUUUGCUUAUUAAAGGUAUUUUCCCAAGCACCAGCAAACAGACAAAUUGUUCUGGAGCUGUUCAGACCAAACUAGCAUGCAGGUCUACAGUAAAGAUUCAGCUGCUCAAACACAUGGGUGGAGCGAGAAGCAGCAAAUAUGAAAGAACAAGAGACGUGGGAAAGACAGUUUGAACUCACUGAAGUGCACAACAAAACAAACUAGUUAUACGUCAUGGAAAGAUGGGGACACAUAGAUGCAAUGGGAAGUCACAGAGCUCUCAUAUGGGAGGAGGCUUGCUGUAGAGCAUCAAAAACACCCACAAUCAGACUCACAGGGGAGACACAAAGCAGACUUUGGUUGACUGAGUUUGGAUUGGAACAGCUUUCAAUUACUGGUAGUGUUGUGCUGGCUUCUGGCCUGCCUGAGACAGCCGCCAUCCCACAGGGAAUACAAGACCUCUCACUGUUCAGCUGCCAAGAUUGGGGGAUUCACCUUGAUCCGUUAUUGUUGUAUGUGAAUGCCAUUAAGAACAAUGUUUACCUGUGUUAUGUUUUUUUGCAGAUAAUAAAGCAAUGUCAGAUAGGUACUGACUGUCUGACCCAUCUCAUGUAAAUAUACCUGUAGCAACAUCAUUCAGUUUGUACUGAUGUGAAAAAAAUAUUGCCACAAUUUCCUGAUCAUCAACCUACCUGGCCCUAGAUGAAAAAGUAAAUGCUCACCACCAGAAACUCCUGAAAGACAAUUUCUAGCCAUAAGCAGACCAGACUUCUGCAAUUAUGCAGGAGAACAACAAUCCGAAACACACUGGCAAACCCAUCUCUGAAUGGCUACAAAACCCCCACAAAAUGAAGGUUUUGGAGUGGCCUAG
This is a long non-coding RNA of Oreochromis niloticus (Nile tilapia), 1580 nucleotides long. RefSeq lists it as uncharacterized. The transcript has 4 exons. Lineage: Eukaryota; Metazoa; Chordata; Actinopteri; Cichliformes; Cichlidae. The record is from RefSeq and is a predicted model, not a curated record.